RNAcentral lists this ribosomal RNA (207 nucleotides) under uncultured bacterium. Its description in RNAcentral is "partial 16S ribosomal RNA". It matches the Rfam family "Bacterial small subunit ribosomal RNA", at positions 524 to 729 of the family's 1533-position model. The record is from RNAcentral.
UACGUAGGGUGCAAGCGUUAAUCGGAAUUACUGGGCGUAAAGCGUGCGCAGGCGGUCCGUUAAGACAGAUGUGAAAUCCCCGGGCUUAACCUGGGAACUGCAUUUGUGACUGGCGGACUCGAGUAUGGCAGAGGGGGGGUAGAAUUCCACGUGUAGCAGUGAAAUGCGUAGAGAUGUGGAGGAAUACCGAUGGCGAAGGCAGCCCCC